This 551-nucleotide ribosomal RNA is filed under the name uncultured archaeon. RNAcentral describes it as "bacterial SSU rRNA". It matches the Rfam family "Archaeal small subunit ribosomal RNA", at positions 13 to 566 of the family's 1478-position model. The record is from RNAcentral.
CCCGCCGGANGCUACCGCUAUUGGAGUCCGANUANNNNNUGCGAGUCGAGAGCUUUCGGAGCUCGGCAUACUGCUCAGUAACACGUGGGUAACCUGCCCUAUGCUGGGGGAUAACCUCGGGAAACUGAGAACAAUACCCCAUAGUCCACUACGCCUGGAACGGUGAGUGGAUGAAAGCCCCGGCGGCAUAGGAUGGGCCUGCGGCGUAUCAGGUUGUAGGGGGUGUAAUGUACCCUCUAGCCCUCGACGCGUACGGGUUGUGAGAGCAAUAGCCCGGAGAUGGAUUCUGAGACAAGAAUCCAGGUCCUACGGGACGCAGCAGUCGCGAAACCUUGACAAUGCGGGAAACCGUGAUCAGGGGACUCCAAGUGCCAGGAGUAAGAUCCUGUGCUUUUCAUCUCUCUUCAAAGGAUUUGGAAUAAGGGGUGGGUAAGGACGGUGCCAGCCGCCGCGGUAAUACCGGCGCCUCAAGUGGUAGUCGAUUUUAUUGGGCCUAAAACGUCCGUCGCCGGUCUGGUGCAUUCGUGGGUAAAUCAACCCGCUCNAACGGG